Molecule: ribosomal RNA, 278 nt
Filed under: uncultured bacterium
Lineage: Bacteria
Description: partial 16S ribosomal RNA
Rfam family: Bacterial small subunit ribosomal RNA
Source: RNAcentral
AACGAACGCUGGCGGCAGGCCUAACACAUGCAAGUCGAGCGCUACCUUCGGGUGGAGCGGCGGACGGGUGAGUAACGCGUGGGAACGUGCCCUUCUCUGCGGGAUAGCCACUGGAAACGGUGAGUAAUACCGCAUACGCCCUUUUGGGGAAAGAUUUAUCGGAGAAGGAUCGGCCCGCGUCUGAUUAGGUAGUUGGUGGGGUAAUGGCCUACCAAGCCUACGAUCAGUAGCUGGCUUUAGAGGAUGAUCAGCCACACUGGGACUGAGACACGGCCCAG